CAGCAGCCGCGGUAAUACGUAGGGUGCAAGCGUUAAUCGGAAUUACUGGGCGUAAAGCGUGCGCAGGCGGUUUGUUAAGACAGAUGUGAGAUCCCCGGGCUCAACCUGGGAACUGCAUUUGUGACUGGCAAGCUAGAGUAUGGCAGAGGGGGGUGGAAUUCCGCGUGUGGCAGUGAAAUGCGUAGAUAUGCGGAGGAACACCGAUGGCGAAGGCAGCCCCCUGGGCCAAUACUGACGCUCAUGCACGAAAGCGUGGGGAGCAAACAGGAUUAGAUACCCGCGUAGUCCCUGUCUCUUAUAC
RNAcentral lists this ribosomal RNA (301 nucleotides) under uncultured bacterium. RNAcentral's name for it is "partial 16S ribosomal RNA". It matches the Rfam family "Bacterial small subunit ribosomal RNA", at positions 509 to 807 of the family's 1533-position model. The record is from RNAcentral.